AACGAACGUUGGCGGCGUGGAUUAGGCAUGCAAGUCGAAUGAAUCCCAUCUGGGUAACUGGGUGGGGGAAAUGGCGAAAGGGGCAGUAAGGCAUGGGCAACCUACCCCGGGGACGGGGAUAGCUCUUCUAACGAGGAGGUAAUACCUGGCGAUUCGGCGAGGAGGCAUCUCUUUGCCGGGAAAUGAGUUUCGCCUCGGGAGGGGCUCAUGUAGUAUUAGCUUGUUGGUGAGGUAACGGCUCACCAAGGCAAAGAUGCUUAGCGGGUGUGAGAGCACGACCCGCGCCACUGGCACUGAGACACUGGCCAGACUCCUACGGGAGGCUGCAGUCGAGGAUCUUCGGCAAUGGGCGCAAGCCUGACCGAGCGACGCCGCGUGUGCGAAGAAGGCC
This 391-nucleotide ribosomal RNA is filed under the name uncultured bacterium. RNAcentral's name for it is "bacterial SSU rRNA". It matches the Rfam family "Bacterial small subunit ribosomal RNA", at positions 28 to 416 of the family's 1533-position model. The record is from RNAcentral.